This 415-nucleotide ribosomal RNA is filed under the name uncultured bacterium. Its description in RNAcentral is "partial 16S ribosomal RNA". It matches the Rfam family "Bacterial small subunit ribosomal RNA", at positions 338 to 750 of the family's 1533-position model. The record is from RNAcentral.
CCUACGGGUGGCAGCAGUGAGGAAUAUUGGUCAAUGGGCGCGAGCCUGAACCAGCCAAGUAGCGUGAAGGAUGACUGUCCUACGGGUUGUAAACUUCUUUUAUAAAGGAAUAAAGUGAGGCACGCGUGCCUUUCUGUAAGUACUUGAUGAAUAAGCAUCGGCUAACUCCGUGCCAGCAGCCGCGGUAAUACGGAGGAUCCGAGCGUUAUCCGGAUUUAUUGGGUUUAAAGGGUGCGUAGAUGGGUUGUUAAGUCAGUGGUGAAAGUUUGCGGCUCAACCGUUAAAUUGCAAUUGAUACUGGCUGCCUUGAGUACAGUGGAGGUAGGCGGAAUUCGUGGUGUAGCGGUUAAAUGCUUAGAUAUCACGAAGAACUCCGAUUGCGAAGGCAGCCUACUAAACUGCCACUUACAUUGAU